Long non-coding RNA from Oncorhynchus keta (chum salmon), 4712 nucleotides. RefSeq lists it as uncharacterized. The transcript is spliced from 4 exons. The record is from RefSeq and is a predicted model, not a curated record. NCBI's taxonomy places the organism in Eukaryota, Metazoa, Chordata, Actinopteri, Salmoniformes, Salmonidae.
AUUGUCCUACUGGUUAACACUGGACACUGAGAAGGUGGAAUAUUGUCCUACUGGUUAACACUGGACACUGAGAAGGUGGAAUAUUGUCCUACUGGUUAACACUGGACACUGAGAAGGUGGAAUAUUGUCCUACUGGUUAACACUGGACACUGAGAAGGUAGAAUAUUGUCCUACUGGUUAACACUGGACACUGAGAAGGUGGAAUAUUGUCCUACUGGUUAACACUGGACACUGAGAAGGUGGAAUAUUGUCCUACUGGUUAACACUGGACACUCACUGAGAAGGUGGAAUAUUGUCCUACUGGUUAACACUGGACACUCACUGAGAAGGUGGAAUAUUGUCCUACUGGUUAACACUGGACACUGAGAAGGUGGAAUAUUGUCCUACUGGUUAACACUGGACACUCACUGAGAAGGUGGAAUAUUGUCCUACUGGUUAACACUGGACACUGAGAAGGUGGAAUAUUGUCCUACUGGUUAACACUGGACACUCACUGAGAAGGUGGAAUAUUGUCCUACUGGUUAACACUGGACACUGAGAAGGUGGAAUAUUGUCCUACUGGUUAACACUGGACACUCACUGAGAAGGUGGAAUAUUGUCCUACUGGUUAACACUGGACACUGAGAAGGUGGAAUAUUGUCCUACUGGUUAACACUGGACACUGAGAAGGUGGAAUAUUGUCCUACUGGUUAACACUGGACACUCACUGAGAAGGUGGAAUAUUGUCCUACUGGUUAACACUGGACACUGAGAAGGUGGAAUAUUGUCCUACUGGUUAACACUGGACACUGAGAAGGUAGAAUAUUGUCCUACUGGUUAACACUGGACACUGAGAAGGUAGAAUAUUGUCCUACUGGUUAACACUGGACACUGAGAAGGUGGAAUAUUGUCCUACUGGUUAACACUGGACACUGAGAAGGUGGAAUAUUGUCCUACUGGUUAACACUGGACACUGAGAAGGUGGAAUAUUGUCCUACUGGUUAACACUGGACAUUGAGAAGGUGGAAUAUUGUCCUACUGGUUAACACUGGACACUCACUGAGAAGGUGGAAUAUUGUCCUACUGGUUAACACUGGACAUUGAGAAGGUGGAAUAUUGUCCUACUGGUUAACACUGGACACUGAGAAGGUGGACUAUUGUCCCACUGGUUAACACUGGACAUUGAGAAGGUGGAAUAUUGUCCUACUGGUUAACACUGGACACUGAGAAGGUGGAAUAUUGUCCUACUGGUUAACACUGGACACUGAGAAGGUGGAAUAUUGUCCUACUGGUUAACACUGGACACUCACUGAGAAGGUGGAAUAUUGUCCUACUGGUUAACACUGGACACUCACUGAGAAGGUGGAAUAUUGUCCUACUGGUUAACACUGGACACUCACUGAGAAGGUGGAAUAUUGUCCUACUGGUUAACACUGGACACUGAGAAGGUGGAAUAUUGUCCUACUGGUUAACACUGGACACUGAGAAGGUGGAAUAUUGUCCUACUGGUUAACACUGGACACUGAGAAGGUGGAAUAUUGUCCUACUGGUUAACACUGGACACUGAGAAGGUAGAAUAUUGUCCUACUGGUUAACACUGGACACUCACUGGUUAACACUGGACACUCACUGGUUAACACUGGACACUCACUGGUUAACACUGGACACUCACUGGUUAACACUGGACACUCACUGGUUAACACUGGACACUCACUGGUUAACACUGGACACUCACUGGUUAACACUGGACACUCACUGGUUAACACUGGACACUCACUGGUUAACACUGGACACUGAGAAGGUAGAAUAUUGUCCUACUGGUUAACACUGGACACUCACUGAGAAGGUGGAAUAUUGUCCUACUGGUUAACACUGGACACUGAGAAGGUGGAAUAUUGUCCUACUGGUUAACACUGGACACUGAGAAGGUGGAAUAUUGUCCUACUGGUUAACACUGGACACUGAGAAGGUGGAAUAUUGUCCUACUGGUUAACACUGGACACUGAGAAGGUAGAAUAUUGUCCUACUGGUUAACACUGGACACUGAGAAGGUGGAAUAUUGUCCUACUGGUUAACACUGGACACUGAGAAGGUAGAAUAUUGUCCUACUGGUUAACACUGGACACUGAGAAGGUGGAAUAUUGUCCUACUGGUUAACACUGGACACUGAGAAGGUGGAAUAUUGUCCUACUGGUUAACACUGGACACUGAGAAGGUGGAAUAUUGUCCUACUGGUUAACACUGGACAUUGAGAAGGUGGAAUAUUGUCCUACUGGUUAACACUGGACACUCACUGAGAAGGUGGAAUAUUGUCCUACUGGUUAACACUGGACAUUGAGAAGGUGGAAUAUUGUCCUACUGGUUAACACUGGACACUGAGAAGGUGGACUAUUGUCCCACUGGUUAACACUGGACAUUGAGAAGGUGGAAUAUUGUCCUACUGGUUAACACUGGACACUGAGAAGGUGGAAUAUUGUCCUACUGGUUAACACUGGACACUCACUGAGAAGGUGGAAUAUUGUCCUACUGGUUAACACUGGACACUCACUGAGAAGGUGGAAUAUUGUCCUACUGGUUAACACUGGACACUCACUGAGAAGGUGGAAUAUUGUCCUACUGGUUAACACUGGACACUGAGAAGGUGGAAUAUUGUCCUACUGGUUAACACUGGACACUGAGAAGGUGGAAUAUUGUCCUACUGGUUAACACUGGACACUGAGAAGGUGGAAUAUUGUCCUACUGGUUAACACUGGACACUGAGAAGGUAGAAUAUUGUCCUACUGGUUAACACUGGACACUCACUGGUUAACACUGGACACUCACUGGUUAACACUGGACACUCACUGGUUAACACUGGACACUCACUGGUUAACACUGGACACUCACUGGUUAACACUGGACACUCACUGGUUAACACUGGACACUCACUGGUUAACACUGGACACUCACUGGUUAACACUGGACACUGAGAAGGUAGAAUAUUGUCCUACUGGUUAACACUGGACACUCACUGAGAAGGUGGAAUAUUGUCCUACUGGUUAACACUGGACACUGAGAAGGUGGAAUAUUGUCCUACUGGUUAACACUGGACACUGAGAAGGUGGAAUAUUGUCCUACUGGUUAACACUGGACACUGAGAAGGUGGAAUAUUGUCCUACUGGUUAACACUGGACACUGAGAAGGUAGAAUAUUGUCCUACUGGUUAACACUGGACACUGAGAAGGUGGAAUAUUGUCCUACUGGUUAACACUGGACACUGAGAAGGUAGAAUAUUGUCCUACUGGUUAACACUGGACACUGAGAAGGUGGAAUAUUGUCCUACUGGUUAACACUGGACACUGAGAAGGUGGAAUAUUGUCCUACUGGUUAACACUGGACACUGAGAAGGUGGAAUAUUGUCCUACUGGUUAACACUGGACAUUGAGAAGGUGGAAUAUUGUCCUACUGGUUAACACUGGACACUCACUGAGAAGGUGGAAUAUUGUCCUACUGGUUAACACUGGACAUUGAGAAGGUGGAAUAUUGUCCUACUGGUUAACACUGGACACUGAGAAGGUGGACUAUUGUCCCACUGGUUAACACUGGACAUUGAGAAGGUGGAAUAUUGUCCUACUGGUUAACACUGGACACUGAGAAGGUGGAAUAUUGUCCUACUGGUUAACACUGGACACUCACUGAGAAGGUGGAAUAUUGUCCUACUGGUUAACACUGGACACUCACUGAGAAGGUGGAAUAUUGUCCUACUGGUUAACACUGGACACUCACUGAGAAGGUGGAAUAUUGUCCUACUGGUUAACACUGGACACUGAGAAGGUGGAAUAUUGUCCUACUGGUUAACACUGGACACUGAGAAGGUGGAAUAUUGUCCUACUGGUUAACACUGGACACUGAGAAGGUGGAAUAUUGUCCUACUGGUUAACACUGGACACUGAGAAGGUAGAAUAUUGUCCUACUGGUUAACACUGGACACUCACUGGUUAACACUGGACACUCACUGGUUAACACUGGACACUCACUGGUUAACACUGGACACUCACUGGUUAACACUGGACACUCACUGGUUAACACUGGACACUCACUGGUUAACACUGGACACUCACUGGUUAACACUGGACACUCACUGGUUAACACUGGACACUCACUGGUUAACACUGGACACUGAGAAGGUAGAAUAUUGUCCUACUGGUUAACACUGGACACUCACUGAGAAGGUGGAAUAUUGUCCUACUGGUUAACACUGGACACUGAGAAGGUGGAAUAUUGUCCUACUGGUUAACACUGGACACUGAGAAGGUGGAAUAUUGUCCUACUGGUUAACACUGGACACUGAGAAGGUGGAAUAUUGUCCUACUGGUUAACACUGGACACUGAGAAGGUAGAAUAUUGUCCUACUGGUUAACACUGGACACUGAGAAGGUGGAAUAUUGUCCUACUGGUUAACACUGGACACUGAGAAGGUAGAAUAUUGUCCUACUGGUUAACACUGGACACUGAGAAGGUGGAAUAUUGUCCUACUGGUUAACACUGGACACUGAGAAGGUGGAAUAUUGUCCUACUGGUUAACACUGGACACUGAGAAGGUGGAAUAUUGUCCUACUGGUUAACACUGGACACUCACUGAGAAGGUGGAAUAUUGUCCUACUGGUUAACACUGGACACUGAGAAGUUGGAAUAUUGUCCUACUGGUUAACACUGGACACUGAGAAGGUGGAAUAUUGUCCUACUGGUUAACA